GACGAACGCUGGCGGCGUGCUUAACACAUGCAAGUCGAACGGUAAGGCCCUUCGGGGUACACGAGUGGCGAACGGGUGAGUAACACGUGGGUGAUCUGCCCUGCACUUCGGGAUAAGCCUGGGAAACUGGGUCUAAUACCGGAUAGGACUCCUGGCUUCAUGGUUGGGGGUGUAAAGCUUUUGCGGUGUGGGAUGGGCCCGCGGCCUAUCAGCUUGUUGGUGGGGUAAUGGCCUACCAAGGCGACGACGGGUUAGCCGGCCUGAGAGGGUGACCGGCCACACUGGGACUGAGAUACGGCCCAGACUCCUACGGGAGGCAGCAGUGGGGAAUAUUGCACAAUGGGCGCAAGCCUGAUGCAGCGACGCCGCGUGAGGGAUGACGGCC
This 385-nucleotide ribosomal RNA is filed under the name uncultured bacterium. Its description in RNAcentral is "bacterial SSU rRNA". It matches the Rfam family "Bacterial small subunit ribosomal RNA", at positions 28 to 416 of the family's 1533-position model. The record is from RNAcentral.